RNAcentral lists this ribosomal RNA (2044 nucleotides) under marine metagenome. Its description in RNAcentral is "eukaryotic LSU rRNA". It matches the Rfam family "Eukaryotic large subunit ribosomal RNA", at positions 333 to 2377 of the family's 3401-position model. The record is from RNAcentral.
ACCGAUAGCGAACAAGUACCGUGAGGGAAAGAUGAAAAGAACUUUGAAAAGAAAGUGAAAUAGUACGUGAAAUCGUUGGAAGCAAGCGAAUCACUCUUCCUUCCCGUCGGCGGGCUCGCCCCGCCGCUCGGGGGCACGAUCCGUUCCUGGUCGGCUACGCGGCACGCCAACGGCUCCGGCCGCGGCGCUUUGCCCAGCCUUCCGGGGGCCGAGGACAACCUACUCGCGCCACGCCCUGCGCCUCCGGGCGCUGCGUGGCCAGGAUCGUGCCUUGCUACCGGAGUGAUCCGACCCGUCUUGAAACACGGACCAAGGAGUCUAACAUGUGUGCGAGUGUUUGGGUGGCAAACCCCAACGCGCAGGUAACCCGAGAUUGCCCGAGCCUUUUACCGGGCGCAAGGCAGGCAGCGCGUUGGCCUUCUGGCCGAUGCCUAGCAGGAGCAUGCAUGCUGGGACCCGAAAGGUGGUGAACUAUGCUUGUGCAGGGUGAAGUCAGGGGAAACCCUGAUGGAAGCUCGAAGCGAUACUGACGUGCAAAUCGUUCGUCUGACAUGAGUAUAGGGGCGAAAGACUAAUCGAACCACCUAGUUGCUGGUUUCCUCCGAAGUUUCCCCCAGGAUAGCUGGAACCCGUUGCGAGCCGUGUCAGGUAAAGCGAAUGAUUAGAGGUUUCGGGGUAGAAACUAUCUCGUCCUAUUCUCAAACUUUAAAUGGGCACGAUGCGGUGGUCGCUUAACUGGACUGCUGCGUUGGGUCGGGGUUCUUAGUGGGCCAUUUUUGGUAAGCAGAACUGGCGAUGCGGGAUGCACCGGACGCUCGGUUAAGGGGCCUAAGUGCUCGCUCAUUCAGAUACCAUAAAGGGUGUUGGUUGAUGAAGACAGCAGGACGGUGGUCAUGGAAGUCGAAAUCCGCUAAGGAGUGUGUAACAACUCACCUGCCGAAUCAACUAGCCCCGAAAAUGGAUGGCGCUCAAGCGAGCCCCCGAAACCGGGCCAUCCGGGCAGAUGCGACGCCCGGAUGAGUAGGAGGACGCGUCGGUCGCAGCGAAGGCGCGGGCGCGAGCCCCGCUCAGAGCGGCCGAUAGUGCAGAUCUUGGUGUUAGUAGCAAAUAUUCAAAUGAAAACUUUGAAGGCCGAAGUGGAGAAAGGUUUCACGCGAACAACAUUUGGACGUGAGUGACUCGGUCCUAAGGUAUUCCGUAUGGGAUUCAGAAGCCGCGGCUCGUCUGCGGCGUCGGCCGAAAGGGAUACGGGUUUAGAUUCCCGUAGUGUGGACGGUGGUGCUGAGCGGCGACGCGUUCAAACCUGCUGACGACGGCCCGGGCCCUGGGAAGAGUUCUCUUUUCUUUUUAACGCGUCCGCUCGGCCCUGGAAUGCCUUCACGGCUCGAUGGGGCGGAGCGCGCGGCAAAGCGGCUGACUUCCUCAGCCGUCCGGUGCGCUCGGGACGUCCCUUGAAAAGGCAGGGGCGUGCUUAUACACCCGGUCCCAGCCGUACUCAUAACCGCAUCAGGUCUCCAAGGUUAAAAGCCUCUGGCCAAUAGAACAAUGUAGGUAAGGGAAGUCGGCAAAUUGGUUCCGUAAGUUCGCGAUAUGGAAUGGCUCGUCAGCCUGGGUGGUAGAGGCUCGGUCCAUGAAGCCCGCUAGCCGACGGGACUGGCUGGGCCGCCUUCGGGUGCGCCCGGCCGGGCCCGCUUCGGUAGGUGGGUGGAGGGGUCGAGACAGCGCCGGGCGUUUCGGCGACCGGUUAGCGUUCUCGCCACGACUAGCAGGCAAUGACGAACUCGUAGUGACCACAGGAACCCGACUGUUUAAUUAAAACAAAGCAUUGCGAUGGUUGCAAGUCAAUGGUGACGCAAUGUGAUUUCUGCCCAGUGCUCUGAAUGUCAACGUGAUGUAAUUCAAUUAAGCGCGGGUAAACGGCGGGAGUAACUAUGACUCUCUUAAGGUAGCCAAAUGCCUCGUCAUCUAAUUAGUGACGCGCAUGAAUGGAUCAACGAGGUUCCUACUGUCCCUAUCUACUAUCUAGCGAAACCACAGCCAAGGG